Long non-coding RNA from Sander lucioperca (pikeperch), 220 nucleotides. RefSeq lists it as uncharacterized. The transcript has 2 exons. NCBI's taxonomy places the organism in Eukaryota, Metazoa, Chordata, Actinopteri, Perciformes, Percidae. The record is from RefSeq and is a predicted model, not a curated record.
GCACUGAGUGACUCGCUGGCCAGACCGACAGCCAGUUUCCUUCAGCUAACACCUGGCUGGCUGUACUCGGCUGUACUACAAACUCCAGUCAAGUUCACCUCAACACUUCCGAAAUAAACUCGGGUGUUGGUGUGCUUCACCUCGUAGUAUCCGCGGCUGAAGAAGUGGUCCCUGAAGCACUGUGUGACGGUGGAUCGGACUCGGAGGACCUUGGAGACGU